Molecule: long non-coding RNA, 650 nt
Organism: Linepithema humile (Argentine ant)
Lineage: Eukaryota; Metazoa; Arthropoda; Insecta; Hymenoptera; Formicidae
Source: RefSeq, a predicted model, not a curated record
UGAAUUUUUGAUGAGCAAAGAUGCGAGAGAUAGAGAGCAAUCUCUGUAAGUAUCAAAUAAUCGAUACAGUACGAGAUGAUUAAAGAAAAUCACAAAAUUAGGAGCGCAGGGAUGCAUACUUGCACAAUAAUCAGGAUUAUAUUUUUUUCACGUACUGGUCGUAUAUAUCAAGAAUAAGACUUACGUUUUAUAAUACGCUUCAACAAAUGCUCAUUACGAGCUUCGACAUUUGAUACUUAUUCGCAUGCGAUAUUCAUUUUCGAUUUGCAAAACAGAAAUGAGGUACAGAGUGAUGUUACAUCAAAUAAUCGAAAUAAUCGCAGAUAAUAUAUGAUAGUCACGAAAUUAGACGCAUAGUGACGAAUUGACUUCGAAACAUCGUUAUUCUUAUAUUAUCAUAUUAUUGUUGAGUUGCGAUCGAGUAUUGGGAGUGUCGAAAAUAACAACGUGCUGUAUAAUUACGAGUUGUUACGCGGUUUUCAUGUCGUCAGAAUUUUGCAAAACGUUUCUCCAAUGGAUUCGUAUUCAUCUUUAGCAUUACAUUCUGCACGAUACAUGAUUUUUUACAAAUAUGGACAAUCAGGUUUUUCUUCGCGUUCCGUCAAAUAGUGAUGAUGAGUCUUGUAUUGCUUUCUUUGCGUUCCAUCAAG